AUUGAACGCUGGCGGCAUGCCUUACACAUGCAAGUCGAACGGUAACAGGUCUUCGGAUGCUGACGAGUGGCGAACGGGUGAGUAAUACAUCGGAACGUGCCCGAUCGUGGGGGAUAACGAGGCGAAAGCUUUGCUAAUACCGCAUACGAUCUACGGUUGAAAGCGGGGGUUCUUCGGACCUCGCGCGGACGGAUCGGCCGAUGGCAGAUUAGGUAGUUGGUGGGAUAAAAGCUUACCAAGCCGACGAUCUGUAGCUGUUCUGAGAGGAUGAUCAGCCACACUGGGACUGAGACACGGCCCAGACUCCUACGGGAGGCAGCAGUGGGGAAUUUUGGACAAUGGGCGAAAGCCUGAUCCAGCCAUGCCGCGUGCAGGAUGAAGGCCUUUGGGUUGUAAACUGCUUUUGUACGGAACGAAAAGCCUCUUUCUAAUAAAGAGGGGUCAUGACGGUACCGUAAGAAUAAGCACCGGCUAACUACGUG
Molecule: ribosomal RNA, 482 nt
Filed under: uncultured bacterium
Lineage: Bacteria
Description: partial 16S ribosomal RNA
Rfam family: Bacterial small subunit ribosomal RNA
Source: RNAcentral